CUGUGCUAGGCGGGGAGUUAGCGGUGCCCUGAACCCGCAAUCCGCUACAGCGGGGCCGAAUACCCAUAAUGAGACUUUAUUCCAAGGCGGACGCUCUUGAGGCGCGGAUGUUGACAGCCGGGUCCUGUGCGUCGGACGCUGGCAAAACCCCGUCAGAGCCGGAAGGCAGCAGCGGUAUGCUGGCCGGACGAGCGCCGCAGGGGCUCCCGGCUUGAGUCUGUCCCUCAUCUCGCUGCCGCUGCCGGAAGGGUCGAAUAUGGGGCACAG
This 267-nucleotide signal recognition particle RNA is filed under the name FCB group bacterium. RNAcentral describes it as "signal recognition particle sRNA large type". It matches the Rfam family "Bacterial large signal recognition particle RNA". Rfam says of the family: The signal recognition particle (SRP) is a universally conserved ribonucleoprotein involved in the co-translational targeting of proteins to membranes. Archaeal SRP consists of a 7S RNA and homologues of the eukaryotic SRP19 and SRP54 proteins. Lineage: Bacteria; Pseudomonadati. The record is from RNAcentral.